CUUGGUCAUUUAGAGGAAGUAAAAGUCGUAACAAGGUCUCCGUAGGUGAACCUGCGGAGGGAUCAUUACACAAAUAUGAAGGCGGGCUGGAACCUCUCGGGGUUACAGCCUUGCUGAAUUAUUCACCCUUGUCUUUUGCGUACUUCUUGUUUCCUUGGUGGGUUCGCCCACCACUAGGACAACCAUAAACCUUUUGUAAUUGCAAUCAGCGUCAGUAACAAAUUAAUAAUUACAACUUUCAACAACGGAUCUCUUGGUUCUGGCAUCGAUGAAGAACGCAGCGAAAUGCGAUAAGUAGUGUGAAUUGCAGAAUUCAGUGAAUCAUCGAAUCUUUGAACGCACAUUGCGCCCUUUGGUAUUCCAAAGGGCAUGCCUGUUCGAGCGUCAUUUGUACCCUCAAGCUUUGCUUGGUGUUGGGCGUCUUGUCUCUAGCUUUGCUGGAGACUCGCCUUAAAGUAAUUGGCAGCCGGCCUACUGGUUUCGGAGCGCAGCACAAGUCGCACUCUCUAUCAGCAAAGGUCUAGCAUCCAUUAAGCCUUUUUUUCAACUUUUGACCUCGGAUCAGGUAGGGAUACCCGCUGAACUUAAGCAUAUCAAUAAGCGGAGGA
RNAcentral lists this ribosomal RNA (608 nucleotides) under Alternaria sp. FM-G1. RNAcentral's name for it is "eukaryotic LSU rRNA". The stretch from base 234 to 387 matches the Rfam family "5.8S ribosomal RNA". The record is from RNAcentral. Lineage: Eukaryota; Fungi; Ascomycota; Dothideomycetes; Pleosporales; Pleosporaceae.